GUAGGGAAUAUUCCACAAUGGACGAAAGUCUGAUGGAGCGACGCCGCGUGAGGGAUGAAGGCCUUCGGGUUGUAAACCUCUUUCGACGGGGACUAAAUUCAAUGCAGUGAAUAAUUGCAUUGAUUGACGGUACCCAGGGAAGAAGCUACGGCUAACUCUGUGCCAGCAGCCGCGGUAAUACAGAGGUAGCAAGCGUUGUCCGGAUUCACUGGGCGUAAAGGGCUUGUAGGUUGCUUUUUAAGUCAGGUGUGAAAUCGUCCCGCUUAACGGGACAAUUGCACUUGAUACUGAUUGGCUUGAGUGCAGGAUGGGAAAUCGGAAUUUCCGGUGUAGCGGUGAAAUGCGUAGAUAUCGGAAAGAACACCGGUGGCGAAGGCGGAUUUCUGGCCUGCAACUGACACUGAGGAGCGAAAGCCAGGGGAGCAAACGGGAUUAGAUACCCCGGUAGUCC
This 451-nucleotide ribosomal RNA is filed under the name uncultured bacterium. Its description in RNAcentral is "bacterial SSU rRNA". It matches the Rfam family "Bacterial small subunit ribosomal RNA", at positions 354 to 796 of the family's 1533-position model. The record is from RNAcentral.